RNAcentral lists this ribosomal RNA (359 nucleotides) under Moesziomyces antarcticus. Its description in RNAcentral is "partial 26S rRNA". It matches the Rfam family "Eukaryotic large subunit ribosomal RNA", at positions 163 to 511 of the family's 3401-position model. Lineage: Eukaryota; Fungi; Basidiomycota; Ustilaginomycetes; Ustilaginales; Ustilaginaceae. The record is from RNAcentral.
GGGGGGGCCGCCCCGGCCCGGGCCCAAGCCCCCCGGCCAGGGGCAUCACACAGGGCGACCACCCCGCCCAAGGAAAGAAAACCAACAACGCUUUGUAAAAAAAAUUCUCAGANUCCAGUUGUUUGGGAAUGCACCUCAANAUGGGUGGAAAAUGCCAUCUAAGGCUAAAUAUUGGGGAGAGACCGAUAGCGAACAAGUACAGUGAUGGAAAGAUGAAAAGAACUUUGAAAAGAGAGUUAAACAGUACGUGAAAUUGCCAAAAGGGAAGGGUAGGAGGUCNGAGAUGCGGCCUGGGAUUCAGCCUUGCUUUUGCUUGGUGUUUUUCCCAGAUUGCAGGCCAACNUCGGUUUUGGNCACUG